AAUCCGUAUUAUGGGCACUAGCGAAGUAAACCCUUGUAUCGUUCCUAAGCCUUUGAACAGCAUUUUGAGUCCAUUUGUUGAAAAGUAGUGAUCUCGUCCCUUAGCUU
RNAcentral lists this small nucleolar RNA (107 nucleotides) under Olea europaea subsp. europaea. RNAcentral's name for it is "Plant small nucleolar RNA R71". It matches the Rfam family "Plant small nucleolar RNA R71". From Rfam's summary of the family: R71 is a member of the C/D box family of snoRNAs containing the C (UGAUGA) and D (CUGA) box motifs. Multiple nearly identical copies of this snoRNA have been identified in Arabidopsis, and it is thought to function as a 2'-O-ribose methylation guide for 18S ribosomal RNA. The record is from Rfam by way of RNAcentral. Lineage: Eukaryota; Viridiplantae; Streptophyta; Magnoliopsida; Lamiales; Oleaceae.